AUGAAAACGUACUGUAAGUCACUCUGGAUAAGAGUGUCUGCUAAAUGACAGCAA
This is a non-coding RNA of Salmo salar (Atlantic salmon), 54 nucleotides long. Lineage: Eukaryota; Metazoa; Chordata; Actinopteri; Salmoniformes; Salmonidae. The record is from Rfam.